RNAcentral lists this ribosomal RNA (468 nucleotides) under uncultured bacterium. RNAcentral's name for it is "partial 16S ribosomal RNA". It matches the Rfam family "Bacterial small subunit ribosomal RNA", at positions 28 to 507 of the family's 1533-position model. The record is from RNAcentral.
GACGAACGCUGGCGGCGUGCUUAACACAUGCAAGUCGAACGGAAAGGCCCUGCUUUUGUGGGGUGCUCGAGUGGCGAACGGGUGAGUAACACGUGAGUAACCUGCCCUUGACUUUGGGAUAACUUCAGGAAACUGGGGCUAAUACCGGAUAGGAGCUCCUGCUGCAUGGUGGGGGUUGGAAAGUUUCGGCGGUUGGGGAUGGACUCGCGGCUUAUCAGCUUGUUGGUGGGGUAGUGGCUUACCAAGGCUUUGACGGGUAGCCGGCCUGAGAGGGUGGCCGGCAACAUUGGGACUGAGAUACGGCCCAGACUCCUACGGGAGGCAGCGGUGGGGAAUAUUGCACAAUGGGAGGAAGCCUGAUGCAGCAACGCCGCGUGCGGGAUGACGGCCUUCGGGUUGUAAACCGCUUUCGCCUGUGACGAAGCGUGAGUGACGGUAAUGGAUAAAGAAGCACCGGCUAACUACGUG